RNAcentral lists this unclassified non-coding RNA (375 nucleotides) under uncultured bacterium. RNAcentral describes it as "contains 16S-23S intergenic spacer region". The record is from RNAcentral.
UCCGGUUUGUCACCGGCAGUCCCAUUAGAGUGCCCAACUGAAUGUAGCAACUAAUGGCAAGGGUUGCGCUCGUUGCGGGACUUAACCCAACAUCUCACGACACGAGCUGACGACAGCCAUGCAGCACCUGUGCAGGAUCUCCGAAGAGGGGCUCUCGUUUCUGAGAGCUUGCUCCUGCAUGUCAAGCCUAGGUAGGGUUCUUCGCGUUGCGUCGAAUUAAAUCACAUGCUCCACCGCUUGUGCGGGCCCCCGUCAAUUCCUUUGAGUUUCAACCUUGCGGUCGUACUCCCCAGGCGGGGUACUUCCUGCGUUAGCUGCGCCACCAACAAGCAUGCUUGCUGACGGCUAGCAUCCAUCGUUUACGGCGUGGACUAC